This is a non-coding RNA of Physcomitrium patens, 763 nucleotides long. NCBI's taxonomy places the organism in Eukaryota, Viridiplantae, Streptophyta, Bryopsida, Funariales, Funariaceae. The record is from RefSeq and is a predicted model, not a curated record.
AGUGAUGUUUAUAAAGCAGGGCAAAGCGGCUAGAUAUUCUCUGUAAGCAUAUCAUAUUGAUGCUUGCCGACGACGUAGCCUGCAACGCUUGAGAUGCGUGCCCAGCCCAAGUGUACAAUAAUGACAACCAUCGAUUCAACCUUUAUGAUAACCAUAUUUAGGUUGAUCACAAGGGCCAUGAAGUAAACGCGAAAUACUUCUGCGUGUUUGUACCAGUCGCCACGAUGAUACUAUGGCGAGGUCCAAAUGGUUGCUCAGUGGCGAAGCUUUAUGGCCCAAGAUUCGUGCCGUGGGGAGCAGUUUGAAGGAAGAGAGCUCCUGUUCUCACUACUUAAAUGCACAUAGAAACUAUCUUCAUUCCUCCCAAAACUGUUGAAAUGCCUCGCGUACUAUUAUUGGUGGAGAUUUGCCGAUGCAAGGCUAUGGAGGGUGAAGAAGGCUUUAAAUGCGUCGAAUGUGAGGAAUGGCCUCAUGCAAGGUGACAAGAAGAACACUCGUCUUCGUGGAUUUGCUUGCCGCAGCAGGCAAAGUAUCAUCCAUUACCUACCCUGGCUUAUGAAGCUUUCUUUGGUUCGUGCUUGUCGGAAGACGUUUUGGUCCACAGAUGAGCAUGCACAGUUAAUCUCUCUUCACGCAGAUCAGGUGUCAUUUAGUUUGACAAUUGAGUCACAAUCACCCAGGUAGGUAUUGAGCAAGGUGUAACUCAGGAACUGCUGGAAAUUGACACUCAAUACAGAUAGCUGUGCUGAAUGGUUUCAGUUCA